Apodemus sylvaticus (European woodmouse) is the source of this 425-nucleotide non-coding RNA. The record is from the annotation of a RefSeq genome assembly. NCBI's taxonomy places the organism in Eukaryota, Metazoa, Chordata, Mammalia, Rodentia, Muridae.
AAACCAGUCACACAUAUACAGUGCCAUAGUCAUUGCAGUCAGGACUCAGCAUGGACAUGAGGGACCCUGCUCAGUUUCUUGGGUUCUUGUUGCUCUUGUUUCCAGGAGCCAGAUGUGACAUCCAGAUGACCCAGUCUCCAUCUAUAUCUGCUUCUCUGGGAGACAGAGUCAGCAUCACUUGCAGGGCAAGUCAGGACAUUAGCAGUGCUUUAAGCUGGUACCAGCAGAAACCAGGGAAAUCUCCUAAACUCCUGAUCUAUGGUGCAACCAUUCCGGAAGAUGGCGUCCCGUCAAGGUUCAGUGGCAGUGGGUCUGGGUCAGAUUAUUCUCUCACCAUCAGCAGCCUGGAGUCUGAAGAUGAAUCAAUCUAUCACUGUCAACAAUAUUAUGAUUAUCCUCCCACAGUGAUACAAGUCAUAACAUAA